This is a non-coding RNA of Podarcis lilfordi (Lilford's wall lizard), 73 nucleotides long. Lineage: Eukaryota; Metazoa; Chordata; Lepidosauria; Squamata; Lacertidae. The record is from the annotation of a GenBank genome assembly.
UGGGUAGCUCAGUUGAUUAGAGCAUGGUGCUGGAUAAUGCCAAGGCUGCAGGUUCGAUUCCUGUAUAGGACAA